UACGUGAGGGGCGAACGUUGUUCGGUGUCACUGGGCUUAAAGGGUGCGUAGGUGGCCAACUAAGUCAGACGUGAAAUCCCUCAGCUUAACUGGGGAACUGCGUCUGAUACUGGAUGGCUUGAGUUUGGGAGAGGGAUGCGGAAUUCCAGGUGUAGCGGUGAAAUGCGUAGAUAUCUGGAGGAACACCGGUGGCGAAGGCGGCAUCCUGGACCAACACUGACACUGAUGAGCGAAAGCCAGGGGAGCAAACGGG
This 253-nucleotide ribosomal RNA is filed under the name uncultured bacterium. Its description in RNAcentral is "partial 16S ribosomal RNA". It matches the Rfam family "Bacterial small subunit ribosomal RNA", at positions 524 to 776 of the family's 1533-position model. The record is from RNAcentral.